RNAcentral lists this ribosomal RNA (479 nucleotides) under uncultured bacterium. RNAcentral describes it as "partial 16S ribosomal RNA". It matches the Rfam family "Bacterial small subunit ribosomal RNA", at positions 28 to 507 of the family's 1533-position model. The record is from RNAcentral.
GAUGAACGCUAGCGGGAGGCCUAACACAUGCAAGCCGAGCGGUAUUGUUUCUUCGGAAAUGAGAGAGCGGCGUACGGGUGCGUAACACGUGUGCAACCUGCCCUUAUCUGGGGGAUAGCCUUUCGAAAGGAAGAUUAAUACUCCAUAAUAUAUUGAACGGCAUCGUUUAAUAUUGAAAGCUCCGGCGGAUAGAGAUGGGCACGCGCAAGAUUAGCUAGUUGGUGAGGUAACGGCUCACCAAGGCGAUGAUCUUUAGGGGGCCUGAGAGGGUGAUCCCCCACACUGGUACUGAGACACGGACCAGACUCCUACGGGAGGCAGCAGUGAGGAAUAUUGGUCAAUGGGUGCAAGCCUGAACCAGCCAUCCCGCGUGAAGGACGACUGCCCUAUGGGUUGUAAACUUCUUUUGUAUAGGGAUAAACCUACCCUCGUGAGGGUAGCUGAAGGUACUAUACGAAUAAGCACCGGCUAACUCCGUG